Molecule: long non-coding RNA, 352 nt
Filed under: Medicago truncatula (barrel medic)
Lineage: Eukaryota; Viridiplantae; Streptophyta; Magnoliopsida; Fabales; Fabaceae
Description: long non-coding RNA (MTRU_LNC006261)
Source: RNAcentral
AUCUAUCAUGAUACCACACAAUUCAAAUAGGUAAUUAUAACAAUUAUACUUACAUAUCCAAGGAGGUUGAGAGAGUUUUCUGAGUCGUAAAACCCCUUAAUUUUAUUCCCACUAAUUAUCUCCAAUAUUAUUACGCCAAAACUAAACACAUCGGAUUUCAUGGAGUAACGACCGUGCACUGCAUACUCUGGAGGCAUGUAACCACUAGAAAUAUUGAUUGGAGAGUAAUUAGAACAAAAAGAAAAUGAUUACACACAAGCUAAUCACUAAGUACAAAAAGAAGAUAACUUACUAUGUUCCGACCAUCUUUUUUGUUUUGGCUUCAACUUGAUCUCCCCCAAAUGUCCGAGCC